Molecule: RNA transcript, 3696 nt
Organism: Apis dorsata (giant honeybee)
Lineage: Eukaryota; Metazoa; Arthropoda; Insecta; Hymenoptera; Apidae
Gene name: WD repeat-containing protein 44
Exons: 7
Source: RefSeq, a predicted model, not a curated record
CAUCGCUAAUUUACGUUUGAAAGAACUAGGAUAAUUGAAAUACGCACCAGUGCAUUCAGCACAAAACUGUGCACUUGUGUAACCGCUAUUAGAAGUCAAAUCAUGACUUCGUGCCGCUUACGAUCCUGUGGCCGCUUCUACCUGGCCCUAGUGUUCGCGAUUUUGCGAAACGCGUGACGUGCCUUGACAGUACCGAUGCGGAGAAGAGUAUUAUUACCAAUCACUCAGUGCAGACGACAAUGUCUGGAAGCAGCGAUUCCGAAGAAUUUUUUGAUGCAGAGGAUGAUACUUUUCAUCAUAAUGCACGGAAAAAUAAACAACGUGAUUCUAUCAGUGUUGAAACACAAAGUAAGGAUACAUCAGAAUCAUCCAAAAAAAUGGAUGAUGAUGUUUUUGUGAAACCUGCUCAACCUAAACCAAUUGUAGAACCAAAGGAACAUAUAAUGAUAGAAUGUAUAGUUAAUAAAGAUAAAAAUGAAGAAAAUGGGAAAGAUUUAAGUACCGAUAAAAGUAUAGGUAGAAGAAGAUUUCGUGAACUCAGACAACGUAUGCAAACAGAAGAUGAUGAUAUUGCAAUUAAUAGUUCCCCUCCAGAUAGUCAAACAUCAUCAAUCGAGGGUGUUUAUCCUACUCCUUCAAAGACAACGCAUCCAUUUAGGAUUAUAGAACAUGAUACCCUUAGUUUACAAAGCAUGACAUCUUUAGGACGAGUGGGACGAAUUUUGGCUGGAGUUGGGGACAGUGCAUCUACUACACUUGCACCAAAUGUAACCCAGUGUCCCCCUUCUGCCAUCCUUACCCGUGAAAGCCAGAUGUCCUCCAUUGCUAGUAUUCCAAGCAAAGACGAGGACACAGCAUCUGGUAAGGUGUCCCAGUCCUCCAGCAUCCUUACGUUAUCAGGGGAUAUCCUUCAGGAAUCCUCUGUUAACAGUAGGUCCAAUUAUAUUUCUCACUCACAAAAUGAUAAGACUGUUAUGCUUCAAGAACCUGAUGUCAUCGCUAGUACAAAGAAUAAUGGAAAAUCAAAUGAAGAUAUUACUAUGGUUGGAAUACCUGUUGCACCACCAAGACGUAAAAAAAAGUCAAAAGUUCAAACACCUUCUGAUCUUGCACCUUCUACAACGGAAUCGGUAUUAUCAGCAUCGCCGUUACCAAGUCCUGCGAGUACUAUCGAAUCCAUUACCAGAGAAUUUGAACAUUCUCUUGAUAUUCGAUCUGCAACGAAAGGACAAUAUGUUGUUAAACCACAAGAUGAAGAUAAGUCGAAAGCCGAAGGCCCAUCAACCGAAGAACUGGAAAGGGUGGAAAAAAUGAAAGCUGAAUUAAUGAGCGUGAGGUCGAGUGACAAAUCUAGUAGUCCAUUGGGAUCCAUGUCUAAUAACAGUAUCGGUCGAUAUUCUUUAGGUCCUCAUAAAUUAUCAGGUUUAAGUCCGCAAGGUUCAAAAGAAAGACGAAAAUCGGCAGGUGAUCAAGAUAUGGUUCAACAAUUAAACAUGUUUGUAAGAACAAGAACAGAUUCUGGAAAACGUCUAACAGAUAUGGAAAUCUUGGAGCAAGUAACCGUUUUAAAUUUGGAUACAGGAGAAAGAGUACCAUUGAGUAUAGCAGAAGAUAAAUUACCGCAAUGUAUUAAUCCUUUAUCGCUUCAUAUUAUGAGACUUACUUCAGAAUAUAUAAGUAAUUCUAGUCUAGAAAAAGAAAAAGAAAGUGACGAAGAAAGUGUUGAUAGUAAAAUGUCUAGUAUACCACCGGACGAAGAUGUAUCUGUUGGUAGAGUUCGAAAAAAAACACAAAAGUUGAAACGAUUCUUAGGAUCUACUGUAAAAAAAACAAUGGACAAAGCAAAAUCUAUUGCACAAGAAGUAUCGCAUGCAAGACAUAAAGAAGAUGUUAUGGAUAUAGUAGACGAAGUAUAUCCUGGUGAACAGCAAUACAUAAAAUUAAAAGCAUCUAAUAGUCAUAAAGGACCAUAUGAAUUUAGCUGUUUACAGCAUGUUCAAGAUUUGAGUGGCGAACAUGUAGGUCCUGUUUGGUGUAUGAAAUUUUCAGUUUGCGGACGAUUACUUGCCACUGCAGGACAAGAUCGAGUUUUAAGAAUUUGGGUUUUGCGGGAUGCUUUUACGUAUUUUCAAGAUAUGCGAACUAAAUACAAUGCCGAGAAAGUUAGCCCAACUCCUUCCCAAGAAUCUUUGGUUUCACAACAAUCUAUGGAAGAUCCUAAUGUUGUGGCUAGUGCCUUUAGUGAAAUAGAAGGGACGAAAAGUCCUUUUAUGCCAAAGCCUUUUUGCACUUAUACCGGACAUACCUCGGAUUUACUUGAUGUCUCAUGGUCCAAAAAUUACUUUGUCUUAUCAUCAUCAAUGGAUAAAACUGUUCGACUUUGGCAUAUAUCACGAAAAGAAUGUUUAUGUUGUUUUCAGCAUAUCGAUUUUGUUACAGCAAUAGUAUUUCAUCCUCGCGAUGAUCGUUAUUUUCUUUCCGGAUCAUUGGAUGGUAAACUUCGAUUGUGGAAUAUUCCAGAUAAGAAGGUGGCUGUGUGGAAUGAAGUGGAUGGACAAACUAAAUUGAUUACUGCUGCAAAUUUUUGUCAAAAUGGAAAAUUCGCGGUAGUUGGUUCUUACGAUGGCCGAUGUAUAUUUUAUAACACGGAUCAAUUGAAAUAUCACACGCAAAUACAUGUUCGAUCAACAAGAGGUAAAAAUUCAACGGGAAGAAAGAUUAGCGGUAUUGAACCUAUGCCAGGUGAAGAUAAAAUUUUGGUUACUUCAAAUGAUAGUCGUAUACGAUUAUAUGAUUUACGAGAUUUAAAUCUAUCAUGCAAAUACAAAGGUUACGUUAAUGUCAGUAGUCAAAUUAAAGCAAGUUUCAGUCCAGAUGGGCAAUACAUAGUUAGCGGCUCGGAAAAUCAAUGCAUUUAUAUUUGGAAAACUCAUCAUGAUUAUUCUAAAUUUUCAAGCGUACGUAGAGAUCGAAAUGAUUUUUGGGAAGGUAUAAAAGCUCAUAAUGCCGUAGUGACAUGUGCAGUAUUUGCACCAAAUCCAGAUAGUAUUAUUAAACAAAUUGAAGAGAGAGAACAUUGGGAAAAUAAAGAGGAUGCAAAAUUAGGUAGUUCAACCGUAGAUGUUCCUCCCGUUGAUCCUGUGGUCGAGCAGCGUACUAAAGGCUGUGGUGGACAUGUCCUUGUGAGUGCAGAUUUCAAUGGCUAUAUAAAGGUUUUUCUAAAUAAAACAAAACCUAAACAUAGUUCUUUACCAGCAUCUGCUCUCGCGUAACACAACAUUAGAUUGAUUUAUGCACUAUUGUUAAAACAAAAAAGAUUAAUAAGAACACCAAUAUUACAUACAAAUAUUUGUUUUACCUCAGUGAAUUAUAUAGAACUCGCUGUAUGCUGUUUUUAAGAAAGAGCACCUUGGUGAAGAAACAAAGUAUAAAUAAAAACAAGCACGCAAGCAAUGGCCGAAUAUAGAACAAUUAACGAAUUGUAUGAAUAACCAUUAAUUUAUAUACUUGAUGAUCCAUCAUUAGGCCAUCAAUGUUGGAUAGUAUUUAGAACGUUUCAUGAAAAUCAAAUUGGAUUUUCAAAUCCUGAUGGUUUCUAAAAUGUCUUAGAACUUUACCAUGAUAAGAUAGCGUAAUACAUCGAAGACAAUAUAUUAAUUAAAAAAAAAAAAAAAAAAAAAAAAAAAAAAAAAAAAA